This 1309-nucleotide long non-coding RNA is filed under the name Bos indicus x Bos taurus (hybrid cattle). RNAcentral's name for it is "lncRNA (ENSBIXG00000008136.1)". The record is from RNAcentral. Lineage: Eukaryota; Metazoa; Chordata; Mammalia; Artiodactyla; Bovidae.
AUGGCCACCCUUCUUUUUUCCACAUUUACUUUGACCUGUGGCUCUAGCCAGAAAAUCCAUCACACAUGUUCACUUGCUCUCACCUUCAAGCUAUUUCCCUUGUCUGGAAUGCUAUUCUCAUCCUAUUGCCAAAGCAUGAACCUUCUCUCCUUCAAAAUCCUACUCAGAACUCACCCUCAAGAUGAAACUUUCUCUGAUAAUCCUGCCCUCCACCCAGUCCAGAAAGCUCUCAGCAAUCAUUUUAUAUUCUUCAGAUGGCUCAGAGGUGAACAAUCUGCCUGCAAUACAGGAGACUUGCAGGACACAUGAGUUCGAUUCCUGGGUCAGGAAGAUUCCCUGCAGAAGGAAACGGCAAUCCACUCCCGUAUUCUUGGCCUGGAGAAUCCCCUGGACCGAGGAGCCUGGAGGGCUACAGUCUAUGAGGUCGCAAAGAAGUCAGACACGACUGAACGACUCAACAACAAAAAAUAUUCUUCAGAGGUAACUUGUCUCUCCCAGGCUGCAGGUCUAUCUUAGAAGGGAAAUCAUAUUUACUUUCAAAACGGAGAUCAGAAAACCAAACAAAGCCUGAGAAAACGUACACCACCACCUUGUAAGUUUGUGCUGAGUGGAGGGAAAAUGAAUCUGAUUCAGAAGGCCUCAUUUUUUUUUUUUUUUUUGGUGUGAAGUCUAACAGAAAAAAAUGCCACAUGGCCCUUCUCCCCGGGAUUAACUAGAUUGAGGGUUUGUUCAUUUCAGUCCAGGUAACAAAAGGGAAGCUUGGGACGGACAGAAGCUCCUUUCUCAAGGCCGGGGCUGAGAAGUGGGAAUCCUUCACCGUGACCACCUGCUUCCCUCCCUUCAAACCGGCAUUUAAAAGUGCCAAAUAUCUGUGUAUCACUCUGGGCGCGGAGCCCACGGUCUGAACCCAGCGGAGGCGGUGCACCAGAUAACAUCAAAGCCCCAGGCAGGGGCCAGAAAAGGGGGGGUGCAAAAGCAGACGAGGGAACGAAGCGCCUCCCCCUAGCAUUUCCUCUCACGCCCACUUCCAACCUAGGAGGCUUUUGGUUUCUGCUUUUGUUGUUUUUAAAAAUUAAAAGUUAAACCCAGGAAGCUGUGGAUCAGAGUUUUGUUUGGUUGUUUUGUUUUUUUUUGCGUGGCAGUCCGGGUAAGUUUUCUCUCGGUCCUUUUGUCCGGCUGGGGAAGGAGAGCCUGGGCUCCGGGGGGGCGGGAGGUGGGCACGGUUGGCAGAGCGCGCGGGGCAGGUCUCGUCGCCGGGUCGCCCCGAGGAGGAGGAGGAGGAGGAGGAGGAGGAGGAGGAGGAGGAGGA